RNAcentral lists this ribosomal RNA (45 nucleotides) under Trochulus striolatus. Its description in RNAcentral is "partial 5.8S ribosomal RNA". The record is from RNAcentral. RNAcentral also lists the same sequence under 25 other names. Lineage: Eukaryota; Metazoa; Mollusca; Gastropoda; Stylommatophora; Hygromiidae.
CGGCCUCGGGUCCAUCCCGAGGCCACGCCCGUCUGAGGGUCGGCG